Molecule: long non-coding RNA, 519 nt
Filed under: Equus asinus (donkey)
Lineage: Eukaryota; Metazoa; Chordata; Mammalia; Perissodactyla; Equidae
Description: lncRNA (ENSEASG00005037520.1)
Source: RNAcentral
AGAAUAAGGAUGCAACCUCUCAGCAACUUUUAUGUAUGUGUUUAUUCUAGAACACAAGAUUGUUCCUCCUUCUCCUGUAGACCAUUCAGAAUCAAGAUUGCUAAGUGCUUUGCCCAGGAAAAUAGACCCAAUGAAUGUGAAGGGCUGCACAUACCCAGUCUGGGAAGCUGCCAGAGAGACUCGCAGUUGGAGAAUACAUAAGUCCGUGGUUCCCAUGCAUUCUCCCCGCACACCAACCCCCUUAGAGGAACACUGAAAGUGUGUCCACAGCCCAAGGCUUUGUGGUCCUCAGGGAAGCUUCACAUGGAAAUGAGCAUGGAGGUUGUCAUAGUGGAAAAGAUACCUCAUCAAGGCACAUAUCUCCAAAUGGAAGAUGUGCAUUGUUUGUUGUGCCUGAUGAAUCGUGAUGCUGGUUUUUCAAUUCCACUCAUCAAUUAUUCGAAGAUUUUAGUUGAAAAUCACCCACCAGAUUUCCAUCUUCUCUGAUAUCAGUCAGUUGUUUGCACAACUCAAGUCAUC